GACGAACGCUGGCGGCGUGCCUAAUACAUGCAAGUAGAACGCACAGGAUGCACCGUAGUUUACUACACCGUAUUCUGUGAGUUGCGAACGGGUGAGUAACGCGUAGGUAACCUGCCUGGUAGUGGGGGAUAACUAUUGGAAACGAUAGCUAAUACCGCAUAAGAACAUUUACUGCAUGGUAGAUGUUUAAAAGGUGCAAAAGCAUCACUACCAGAUGGACCUGCGUUGUAUUAGCUAGUUGGUGAGGUAACGGCUCACCAAGGCAACGAUACAUAGCCGACCUGAGAGGGUGAUCGGCCACACUGGGACUAAGACACGGCCCAGACCCCUACGGGAGGCAGCAGUAGGGAAUCUUCGGCAAAUGGGGGGGAAACCCCUGACCGAGCAAACGCCCGCGUGAAGUGAAGAAAGGUUUUUCGGAUUCGGAAAAGCUUCUG
RNAcentral lists this ribosomal RNA (437 nucleotides) under Streptococcus constellatus. RNAcentral describes it as "bacterial SSU rRNA". It matches the Rfam family "Bacterial small subunit ribosomal RNA", at positions 28 to 435 of the family's 1533-position model. The record is from RNAcentral. Lineage: Bacteria; Bacillati; Bacillota; Bacilli; Lactobacillales; Streptococcaceae.